Molecule: long non-coding RNA, 2163 nt
Organism: Brassica oleracea var. oleracea
Lineage: Eukaryota; Viridiplantae; Streptophyta; Magnoliopsida; Brassicales; Brassicaceae
Exons: 2
Source: RefSeq, a predicted model, not a curated record
UAUGCCACAUCAUCAGAGAAGGAGAGGCAAUUGAGGACACGUGUCCUCACCUUUGAAGUUGUUUCGUCUCUUCUUCGAUGUUCAAGCGCCAUAGACCAAGGAGACCGAUCUAACCCCCGAUCUAAUCCUCAAUAUUUUACUUUAAUUCUGCUAUUAAUAGCGUCUGUACCAUUUCCCCCACUUUCUCUCAUAAAUCCAAGGUAACCGAUUGUAGUAGUGACUAUAAAUGUGUUCCUUUCCAGCGAUGAACAACCACAAUCCAACGAAAUCCGAAAGGCCAAUCUUUGUUCAGAAUCAACUCCAACUAUGGCGACGUCGAACUGUCCUUGCCGAUGUACAAACACCGCAGAGGUCCGUCUGAAAUAUGAUGUGAAGAGCACUAAGAAGCUUUGUGUUGUAUGUCUCUUCUUCUGUUUGUAUCCUUUGAAUUGAUGUUUUUGGCAUACACAUGUUGCAAGUCCUUUUUGGGUUCUUUAGUUUAUGCUUGAUUCCUGAGUUGCAAGUGACCAAUAAUGAUUAGUGUUCGUUAUGAAGUUCUUUCUAUUCAUUUAUUGGGCUUGCCAACGUUUGUUCUCUAUGAGAAUGAGAUAAUAUCAUAUAGUUCCUGUUUGAUGUUUUCAGGCAAUGAAGACGGAAUACCUAUUCUCUUCAGCUUGGUUUGAGGUGGAAAAAAUAGAAAUUUAUGAAUGAUCUCUAUGUUGAAGUCUUAGACAGUUGAAUUUAUGUGUUGUACUAACGGGUCUUGCUUCUUCCUCGACAUCCUUGCCAAUGAAGAAUACUUGGGAAUCCGAAGAAAACAGGUUAAGAAUCAGUAGUGUAUCUUAUUAUAACGAGAUUAAAUUUUUACUUUUUAUUGACAUGAAAAAAGAGUCGACAUGUAGAGGAAAGAAAGACGAACAGAACAUAGGAUUUUCAAAUAUCCUCUUCUUUCUUUGUUCUUCUCAUGGUUUGUUAUCUUGAUCAUAAAUCACAGAAAGUUCACAUUUUUAAAAUUAUUUGCUCUUAUUUUUAAUGGGGUUGAAAUAUAUUCACGGUUCUGCUUAGGAAUGAUCCGAGUUUUGAUUGUAUUCAUGAUUAUCUUGUCCUUUAUGAAUGAGUCUCUUGCUCUGUAUAAAGACAGACUUUUAGGUAAUAUAUGUGCAGUCACAACAGCGAAUAAGACACAGACCGCACUGGAGUUGCUGAGGAAUAACAGGAAAAAGUUUGUUCUCGUGAUCAGCGAUCUUGAAAUGGACUUACCUGUCAUUACGAUCUAAACUAUGUGAUGGAAGAAGUCAAGUAUGGUGCCUGUGACUAGCUCCUUAAACCAGUUCGAAUUGAGGAGCUCAAGAACAGAUGGCAACAUGUGGUGAGGAAAAUCAAGUUAAGAAGAUGAAGAGCAUUUUGUAAAGAUCAUCUUGAAGUGGAAGAAGACGAAAGAGGAAAUGAAAACGAUGACACGACGGCUCAAAAAAACCUCGUGUAAUUUGGACGCUAGAGCUGCACAACAAGUUCCUAGCUCGUCUUCUAACAACACAAGACGGGAACACAAUGAACACCAACUGGUUUCAGAAUGCUUAGGUUACGUAGCGCCUGACUAGAGUUUCAGAACUAAAGGGUCAACGAGAAAUACGAUGUUUACGGGUUUGGAGUUCUGAUACUCGAACUCCUGAUUGGUCGGAGACUCGUGGAGUACAGUGAAGACAUCUUUGUGAUACUGAGAGACCAUGUUCGAGUUUUAUUAGAACAAGGGAAUGUGUUGGAGUGUAUUGAUCCUACAAUAGAGGAAGAAUACUCUGAGGAUGAGGUUUUGCCUUUUCUGAAACUUGCUCUUGUUUGUACUUCUCAGAUUCCUUCAAAUUUGCCUACAAUGGCAGAGAUUGUUCAGAUCUUGCAGGCCAUCAGUUCUCCUGUUCCUCACCGGAUGCUCGAUAGUUUUUCAAAAAACUCUGUGUUAAUUUGAUUUUCCAUUAUGCAAUAUUUUCUUUCUUUCUUUUUAUUUUUUUUUACUUUUUUGGUAGAGAUUGCUUUCUUUCACAAUGGUAUGUUCUAUCUUUUUCGCUAUGUCAUCAUGAAUCUUCUUGACGAUCAUUGACCAUUGUUAUCAUUAAUAGGUUUUUUCCUGAGAAUUUUCCGUGUGUUUGUAAGUUAGCAAAUAAUACAAACGUACAAUAAUUACUGACA